ACCAUCCUAAUAGGAUUUCCUGUUGGUUUUGAUUCUUUUAAAUAAGCGGCCUAUUUAUUUUAUGUAUUACAAUUCUGUUGACUUAAAUGUAUGUGAUGUUUAUUUUUAUUCCUUUCAAAUAAACCAGAAUUUUUUCUUUCAUUUGUAACUUAAUUAUGGCCUUAACUGAAUCAACCUGAAGAUAAUGGAGUGAAGAAAGUGAAGUGUUAUAACCCACAGCAUCAUAUGUGAUACCAUAAUGACUGUCUACACAUAGCCGAUCAUCGUGAGUGCUGUCACCUACUGUUUUGGGGGUAGUAAUGUGUCGCUUUAACUUUCAGAGUAAUGGAGAAAGAUCCUUUCCAUGCAAGUUGUUUACCUGUACAUAUAGGGACGCUUGUAGAGCUGAAUAAAGCCAAUGAACUUUUCUAUCUUUCUCAUAAACUGGUGGAUUUAUAUCCUAGUAAUCCUGUGUCUUGGUUUGCAGUGGGAUGUUACUAUCUCAUGGUCGGUCAUAAAAAUGAACAUGCCAGAAGAUAUCUCAGCAAAGCCACAACACUUGAGAAAACCUAUGGACCUGCAUGGAUAGCCUAUGGACAUUCAUUUGCGGUGGAGAGUGAGCACGACCAAGCCAUGGCUGCUUACUUCACAGCAGCACAGCUGAUGAAAGGGUGUCAUUUGCCUAUGCUGUAUAUUGGAUUAGAAUAUGGUUUGACCAAUAACUCAAAACUAGCUGAAAGGUUCUUCAGCCAAGCUCUGAGCAUCGCACCGGAAGACCCUUUUGUUAUGCAUGAGGUCGGCGUGGUUGCAUUUCAGAAUGGAGAAUGGAAAACAGCCGAAAAAUGGUUUCUUGAUGCUUUGGAAAAAAUUAAAGCAAUUGGGAACGAGGUAACAGUUGACAAAUGGGAACCUUUGUUGAACAACUUGGGGCAUGUCUGCAGAAAACUUAAAAAGUAUGCUGAGGCCUUGGAUUACCACCGUCAGGCACUGGUGUUGAUUCCUCAGAAUGCAUCCACCUACUCUGCUAUUGGAUAUAUCCACAGUCUGAUGG
This 1030-nucleotide small RNA is filed under the name Pan troglodytes (chimpanzee). RNAcentral describes it as "retained intron". The record is from RNAcentral. Lineage: Eukaryota; Metazoa; Chordata; Mammalia; Primates; Hominidae.